GCUUAGAGUUUGAUCCUGGCUCAGGAUGAACGCUGGCGGUAUGCUUAAGACAUGCAAGUCGUGCGGUAGAAGGCUUCGGCCUUUGAGAGCGGCGGACGGGUGAGUAACACGUGGGAAUCUGCCUAUUAGUGGGGGACAGCCCAGCGAAAGCUGGAUUAAUACCGCAUACGCCCUACGGGGGAAAGCAGCAAUGCGCUAAUAGAUGAGCCCGCGUAAGAUUAGCUAGUUGGUAAGGUAAAGGCUUACCAAGGCGACGAUCUUUAGCUGGUCUGAGAGGAUGGCCAGCCACAUCGGGACUGAGACACGGCCCGGACUCCUACGGGAGGCAGCAGUCGGGAAUAUUGGACAAUGUGCGCAAGCCUGAUCCAGCAAUACCGCGUGUGUGAAGAAGGCCUGCGGGUUGUAAAGCACUUUCAGUUGGGAAGAUAAUGACGUUACCAACAGAAGAAGCACCGGCUAACUCCGUGCCAGCAGCCGCGGUAAUACGGAGGGUGCAAGCGUUAAUCGGAAUUACUGGGCGUAAAGCGUGCGUAGGCGGCCUGUUAAGUCAGAUGUGAAAGCCCCGGGCUUAACCUGGGAACUGCAUCUGAUACUGGGAGGCUAGAAUGUGGGAGAGGAGAGUGGAAUUUCCGGUGUAGCGGUGAAAUGCAUAGAGAUCGGAAGGAACACCAGUGGCGAAGGCGGCUCUCUGGACCAACAUUGACGCUGUGGCACGAAAGCGUGGGUAGCAAACAGGAUUAGAUACCCUGGUAGUCCACGCCGUAAACGAUGUCAACUAGCCGUCAGUCUCGCUUUAGAGAUUGGUGGUGGAGCUAACGUAUUAAGUUGACCGCCUGGGGAGUACGCUCGCAAGAGUAAAACUCAAAGGAGUUGACGGGGGCCCGCACAAGCGGUGGAGCAUGUGGUUUAAUUCGAUGCAACGCGAAGAACCUUACCUGGUCUUGACAUGUAGUGAACUUAGCAGAAAUGUUUUGGUGCCUUCGGGAACACUAACACAGGUGCUGCACGGCUGUCGUCAGCUCGUGUCGUGAGAUGUUGGGUUAAGUCCCGCAACGAGCGCAACCCCUGUCCCUAGUUGCCAGCACAUAAUGGUGGGAACUCUAGGGGGACUGCCGGUGACAAACCGGAGGAAGGUGGGGAUGACGUCAAGUCAUCAUGGCCCUUAUGACCAGGGCUACACACGUGCUACAAUGGGCAGUACAGAGGGAAGCAAAAUCGCGAGAUCAAGCAAAUCCCAGAAAGCUGUCCGUAGUCCGGAUCGGAGUCUGCAACUCGACUCCGUGAAGUCGGAAUCGCUAGUAAUCGCGAAUCAGCAUGUCGCGGUGAAUACGUUCCCGGGCCUUGUACACACCGCCCGUCACACCAUGGGAGUUUGUUGCACCAGAAGCAGGUAGUCUAACCGAAAGGAGGGCGCUUGCCACGGUGUGGCCGAUGACUGGGGUGAAGUCGUAACAAGGUAACCAAGCC
RNAcentral lists this ribosomal RNA (1467 nucleotides) under uncultured bacterium. Its description in RNAcentral is "bacterial SSU rRNA". It matches the Rfam family "Bacterial small subunit ribosomal RNA". The record is from RNAcentral.